RNAcentral lists this ribosomal RNA (274 nucleotides) under uncultured bacterium. Its description in RNAcentral is "partial 16S ribosomal RNA". It matches the Rfam family "Bacterial small subunit ribosomal RNA", at positions 523 to 796 of the family's 1533-position model. The record is from RNAcentral.
CUACUUAGGGUGCGAGCGUUAAUCGGAAUUACCGGGCGUAAAGCGAGUGUAGGCGGCUAUAUAAGUCGGAUGUGAAAGCCCCGGGCUCAACCUGGGAAUUGCAUUCGAAACUGUAUAGCUAGAGUUUGGUAGAGGUAAGUGGAAUUCAGGGUGUAGCGGUGAAAUGCGUAGAUAUCCUGAGGAACAUCAGUGGCGAAGGCGGCUUACUGGACCAAAACUGACGCUGAGGCUCGAAAGCGUGGGGAGCAAACAGGAUUAGAUACCCCUGUAGUCC